This 73-nucleotide transfer RNA is filed under the name Candidatus Daviesbacteria bacterium RIFCSPHIGHO2_12_FULL_38_25. Its description in RNAcentral is "tRNA-Gly". It matches the Rfam family "tRNA". From Rfam's summary of the family: Transfer RNA (tRNA) molecules are approximately 80 nucleotides in length. Their secondary structure includes four short double-helical elements and three loops (D, anti-codon, and T loops). The record is from RNAcentral. RNAcentral also lists the same sequence under 3 other names. Lineage: Bacteria; Candidatus Daviesiibacteriota.
GCGGGCGUAGUUCAGUAGCCAGAAUGUCUCGUUGCCAACGAGAAGGUCGUGGGUGCAAGUCCCAUCGCCCGCU